CAUCCGUUCCAUUGAUCAUGUUACAAGUCUUUGUUGUCCACCAGUUCAAUGACUCUUUUCCUUUCCAUUCCACAAUUCUUGAGAAGUUAAGGUAGUUCAUUUCUCCACUUAGGAAAACAUAUUCGCCAUCAUCAGUUCCAUUCAUCUUAUUAAAGAAGCCAAACACUGGAUCGAUUUCAGGAUGCAAAACAUGAAUGGUUGACAGGAGUUUGUCUUUGUAGCCCCACAGUAAUUCAUGCACUGUGCGAACUGUAAACAGGGAUUCUUGGUAUAGGAGCAAUAGCACCUCCGUGGCAAACUGAAGAGAAGUUGCCCUGGUCCACUCCAUUGCAGUCACUGCAGGAACAUUGAUGGUUCUAAUCAAAUCCACUUCAGGGUUUCCAACUGACUUCUCAGGUUCAAAUACAUACGUCUUUGGAUUCAGAGCAGAUACUUUGGUGCCAUUAUCCAAAAACUGAACAUGC
RNAcentral lists this long non-coding RNA (464 nucleotides) under Gallus gallus (chicken). Lineage: Eukaryota; Metazoa; Chordata; Aves; Galliformes; Phasianidae. The record is from RNAcentral.